Molecule: non-coding RNA, 224 nt
Filed under: Veillonella sp.
Lineage: Bacteria; Bacillati; Bacillota; Negativicutes; Veillonellales; Veillonellaceae
Description: T-box sequence
Rfam family: T-box leader
About the family: Uncharged tRNA acts as the effector for transcription antitermination of genes in the T-box leader family.
Source: RNAcentral
AACAAAGCUGAGAUAAGGAAAAAUCUUCUCAUAGCGUGGCAGAGAGCGUUGGUAAGGUGCGAGCAACGUACGUGAAAGGAAGAGGGUAGCCUUUGAGCUGACUUGAUGAAGCAAUCUUUGGAUUGUGUGUAGUUUUGUCCGGUUAACCCCGUUAGAGGUAAUGAGUGAUUGCAACGGCAAUAAUCUAGGUGGUACCGCGGAAGUUAAGCCCUUUCGUCCUAAUG